CUAGGAUUCCUAGAGUAACGGCGAGUGAAUUAGGAAAAGCCCAGCGCUGAAUCUUACGAUAUUGUGUCGUUAAGAGAUGUGGCGUAUAGGUAUAGUUUUCGAUUUGUUUCAUAUAUCUAAAGUUCCUUUGUUAGGGACCAAUAUCCAAAGAGGGUGCAAGACCUGUAUGGAUAAUGAGACAACGGGUAUAACUAUACUUUGGAGUCGGGUUGCUUGAAAAUGCAGCCUUAAGUUGGUGAUAAACUUCAUCUGAGGCAAAAUAUUGACGCAAAUUCGAUAGCAAACAAGUACUGUGAAGGAAAGUUGCAAAGAACUUUGAAGACAGAGUUCAAGAGAACUUGAAUGUUUAUAGAUAUCAUCGAUCGAUCUAUGAAUCGAAUCGAUAAUGUUAACGUGAACGUUAAUCACCUCUCUGACCCGUCUUGAAACACGGACCGAGGAGUGUAACUUGUACGCAAGUGAAUAGAUGUGAUAAAUCUAUAAGCGUAAUGAAAAUGAAGACACGUGUAAACGGUUAAUAUGGGAGAUAUUUUCGUUAAUAUACGGAAAAUAUUACACCAUGGCCCUGUCUAAUUUGCACAUGCAGAUGGGCAGCGGUAGAGCGUACAGGUUGCGACCCGAAAGAUGGUGAACUAUGCCUGAGCAGGAUGAAGUCAGAGGAAACUCUGAUGGAGGUCCGUAUCGGUUCUGACGUGCAAAUCGAUCGAUAGACUUAGGUAUAGGGGCGAAAGACUAAUCGAACCAUC
Molecule: ribosomal RNA, 746 nt
Filed under: Dictyocaulus sp. 2 SAN-2009
Lineage: Eukaryota; Metazoa; Nematoda; Chromadorea; Rhabditida; Metastrongylidae
Description: LSU rRNA
Rfam family: Eukaryotic large subunit ribosomal RNA
Source: RNAcentral